RNAcentral lists this ribosomal RNA (486 nucleotides) under fungal sp. AM2013. RNAcentral's name for it is "eukaryotic LSU rRNA". The stretch from base 133 to 286 matches the Rfam family "5.8S ribosomal RNA". Lineage: Eukaryota; Fungi. The record is from RNAcentral.
GGGAUGUUCAUAACCCUUUGUUGUCCGACUCUGUUGCCUCCGGGGCGACCCUGCCUUCGGGCGGGGGCUCCGGGUGGACACUUCAAACUCUGCGUAACUUUGCAGUCUGAGUAAACUUAAUUAAUAAAUUAAAACUUUUAACAACGGAUCUCUUGGUUCUGGCAUCGAUGAAGAACGCAGCGAAAUGCGAUAAGUAAUGUGAAUUGCAGAAUUCAGUGAAUCAUCGAAUCUUUGAACGCACAUUGCGCCCCCUGGUAUUCCGGGGGGCAUGCCUGUUCGAGCGUCAUUUCACCACUCAAGCCUCGCUUGGUAUUGGGCAACGCGGUCCGCCGCGUGCCUCAAAUCGACCGGCUGGGUCUUCUGUCCCCUAAGCGUUGUGGAAACUAUUCGCUAAAGGGUGCUCGGGAGGCUACGCCGUAAAACAACCCCAUUUCUAAGGUUGACCUCGGAUCAGGUAGGGAUACCCGCUGAACUUAAGCAUAUCUA